CCGAUAGUGAACCAGUACCGUGAGGGAAAGGCGAAAAGAACCCCGGCGAGGGGAGUGAAAAAGAACCUGAAACCGUGUACGUACAAGCAGUGGGAGCACGCUUAGGCGUGUGACUGCGUACCUUUUGUAUAAUGGGUCAGCGACUUAUAUUCUGUAGCAAGGUUAACCGAAUAGGGGAGCCGAAGGGAAACCGAGUCUUAACUGGGCGUUAAGUUGCAGGGUAUAGACCCGAAACCCGGUGAUCUAGCCAUGGGCAGGUUGAAGGUUGGGUAACACUAACUGGAGGACCGAACCGACUAAUGUUGAAAAAUUAGCGGAUGACUUGUGGCUGGGGGUGAAAGGCCAAUCAAACCGGGAGAUAGCUGGUUCUCCCCGAAAGCUAUUUAGGUAGCGCCUCGUGAAUUCAUCUCCGGGGGUAGAGCACUGUUUCGGCAAGGGGGUCAUCCCGACUUACCAACCCGAUGCAAACUGCGAAUACCGGAGAAUGUUAUCACGGGAGACACACGGCGGGUGCUAACGUCCGUCGUGAAGAGGGAAACAACCCAGACCGCCAGCUAAGGUCCCAAAGUCAUGGUUAAGUGGGAAACGAUGUGGGAAGGCCCAGACAGCCAGGAUGUUGGCUUAGAAGCAGCCAUCAUUUAAAGAAAGCGUAAUAGCUCACUGGUCGAGUCGGCCUGCGCGGAAGAUGUAACGGGGCUAAACCAUGCAC
RNAcentral lists this ribosomal RNA (709 nucleotides) under Escherichia coli. Its description in RNAcentral is "partial 23S ribosomal RNA". It matches the Rfam family "Bacterial large subunit ribosomal RNA", at positions 484 to 1194 of the family's 2925-position model. The record is from RNAcentral. Lineage: Bacteria; Pseudomonadati; Pseudomonadota; Gammaproteobacteria; Enterobacterales; Enterobacteriaceae.